UGAGGAAUUUUGCGCAAUGGGGGAAACCCUGACGCAGCAACGCCGCGUGAGUGAUGAAGGCCUUCGGGUCGUAAAGCUCUGUCAAGCGGGAAGAAAUUCCCUAAGGCAAAUAGUCUUGGGGAUUGACGGUACCGUUGAAGGAAGCACCGGCUAACUCCGUGCCAGCAGCCGCGGUAAUACGGAGGGUGCAAGCGUUAUUCGGAAUCAUUGGGUGUAAAGCGCGUGUAGGCGGCUCGGUAAGUCAGAUGUGAAAGCUCAAGGCUUAACCUUGAAAGUGCAUUUGAUACUGCCGGGCUUGAGUCCGGGAGAGGAAGGUGGAAUUCCCAGUGUAGAGGUGAAAUUCGUAGAUAUUGGGAGGAACACCGGUGGCGAAGGCGACCUUCUGGACCGAGACUGACGCUGAGACGCGAAAGCGUGGGGAGCAAACA
RNAcentral lists this ribosomal RNA (428 nucleotides) under uncultured prokaryote. RNAcentral describes it as "bacterial SSU rRNA". It matches the Rfam family "Bacterial small subunit ribosomal RNA", at positions 355 to 774 of the family's 1533-position model. The record is from RNAcentral.